AGCGAACGCUGGCGGCAGGCUUAACACAUGCGAGUCGAACGGGCGUAGCAAUACGUCAGUGGCAGACGGGUGAGUAACGCGUGGGAACGUACCUUUUGGUUCGGAACAACCCAGGGAAACGUUGGGCUAAUACCGGGAUAAGCCCUUACGGGGUAAAGGAAUUUAUCGCCGAAAGAUCGGCCCGCGUCUGAUUAGCUAGUUGGUGUGGUAACGGCGCACCAAGGCGACGAUCAGUAGCUGGUCUGAGAGGAUGAUCAGCCACAUUGGGACUGAGACACGGCCCAAACUCCUACGGGAGGCAGCAGUGGGGAAGUAUUGGACAAUGGGCGGCAAGCCUGAUCCAGCCAUGCCGCGUGAGUGAUGAAGGCCCUA
This 372-nucleotide ribosomal RNA is filed under the name uncultured bacterium. RNAcentral describes it as "bacterial SSU rRNA". It matches the Rfam family "Bacterial small subunit ribosomal RNA", at positions 29 to 419 of the family's 1533-position model. The record is from RNAcentral.